GAGUCGUUAGCUCAGUUGGUAGAGCAUCGGACUUUUAAUCCGAGGGUCUGGGGUUCAAGUCCCCAACGACUCACCA
This 76-nucleotide transfer RNA is filed under the name Synergistaceae bacterium. RNAcentral's name for it is "tRNA-Lys". It matches the Rfam family "tRNA". Rfam says of the family: Transfer RNA (tRNA) molecules are approximately 80 nucleotides in length. RNAcentral also lists the same sequence under 1 other name. Lineage: Bacteria; Thermotogati; Synergistota; Synergistia; Synergistales; Synergistaceae. The record is from RNAcentral.